RNAcentral lists this ribosomal RNA (105 nucleotides) under Dictyocaulus viviparus (bovine lungworm). Lineage: Eukaryota; Metazoa; Nematoda; Chromadorea; Rhabditida; Metastrongylidae. The record is from RNAcentral.
UGUCGUGUAGAUAGUCGCGUGGAAACACCUGGUCUCAUUCCGAACCCAGCAUUUAAGCACGCUUGACGCCGAAGGUAGCACCUGCAAGAAUAGGUAACGCGACAU